UUUUUCUUUUUUCUGUUUAUGUCCACACCUGCGGUGUAGGGGAGUUCCCAGGCUAGGGGUCAUAUUGGAGCUGCAGGUGCCGGCUUAUGCCACAGCCACAGCAAUGACAGAUCCAAGCCACAUCUGCAGCCUAUACCACAGCUUGCAACAAGGCCGGAUCCUUAACCCACUGAGCAAGGCCAGGGAUUGAACCCACAUCCUCACGGAUACUAGUCGGGCUCUUGAUCCACUGAACCACAAGGGGAACUCCUCUCCAGAAUUCUUAGGUUGAAGUCCUAACCUCCUUCGGACCCCCAAGCGACUCAAAAUGUGACUAUAUUUGGAAAUACAAUCUUUAACGAGAUAAUUGAAAUGGGGUCAUGAGGGUGGGCCCUAAUUCAAUAUGACUGUGUAAGAGGUGGAAUUUUUAAGAGGAGGAAGUCAGGACAUAGACAUGUAGAGAAGGAGAACCACGUGAAGCCACAGGGAGAAAAAGGCCACCUAUGUGCCAAGGGAAGAGGCCUCAGAAGAACCAACCCUACGGUGCCUUGAUCUCAAACUUCCAACCUCCAGAAGUGUGAGAAAAUGAGUUUCUGUUGUUUGGCAAUCUGAAGCAUUUAGUUAAGAUGGCCCUAGUAAGCUAGUACAUGUAAAACAGAACGAAAUCUAGGCCUGGUGAAUAGGGGUCUGACUUGCUUUGCCAUGAAGAAGAGAUCUAGUGUCUCAUUCAGCCCCAGAUGUGAGUCAGUUCCCUGACCCAAACCUCCUUGAACAGAGAGCCAGACAUCCCCUGAGUAAGGUCUCCUCAAAGAUACUGCAAGUAUCUCCUCUACAUUUCCUGCUUGGGAUCUGCAACUGUUUACUAGGUACCUGCACAGGGAGAGGGAACUUCCCAGAACUUCUGAGGAUGACUGGACACUGGCUCUGAAACGGUGCUAAUUCUUGGGGUUUCUGGUUGGCACUGUGACCCACCAGGGGGGAAUAAAUGGAAACCUGGCUUCAGAAGUUCCCACUGUGUCUCGGCGGUAAUGAACCUGUCUACAAUCCAUCCCUGGCCUUGCUCAGUGGGUUAAGAAUCCAGCGUUGCCACGUGCUGUGGUGUAGGUUGCAGAUGUGGCUUGGAUAUGGUGUUGCUGUGGCUGUGGCGUAGGCCUGUAGCUGCAGCUCCAAUUUGACCCCAAGCCUGGGAAUUUCCAUAUGCCAUGGGUGCGGCCCUAAAAAGCAAGCAAGCAAACCAACCAACCAACAAAAGAAACCUGGCUUCGAUUCAUCUCACAAGGGGACCAACAGCUCUGUAAAAGUCUAAAGUUGUUGUCUCAGCUGCUGAGUACAUGACUGGAAUAGAUGUAUGCUGUGACUGACAGAAUCCACACUUGGACUCCACAGCACAUGGGGUUAGUGCUGUGAUGGCUGUGGAGGGCUAGAAGGCAGUCUCUGGGGUUUCCCUUUCCUACCAAAGCCACAAACCAAGGGAGUUCCCAUCAAUCUUCCUUAUUUAACUCACCGCUCUGGCCUAAGCAGAAGCCAAGUAUGUCUUGGCAAAUGACACUGGAAUAAUGUACGUUUAGUUCUUCUGGAGAUGGUCUCUCUAUUGCGGCAUCCGCGAUACAGAGCUGGAAAAAUCCAGUGUUUCCAUCGCAGUGAGCAGAGAGCAGAGGUGUCCAUCUACAGCAGGACAGCCACACAACUUUUUGCCUCAUGUUCUCUAAACAUUCUGCUUCAGUGGCACUAUCAGGCCACAAAGACCUUCAUUAUCUCACUAUCUCAGGAUAUUAUUCUGGUCUACAACAGUGACCACAUAAUGGUAGGGCUUAUAGAGCAGAAGGUGGCAUGUAUUCUAGAUGUCAUUCUAAGACACAGCCGUGCCAGAUAGUGACAGAUGAAUCCUAUGAAAAUAGUUUCUGAACAUCCAGCAAUCCGGGGCACUUGAAAGAACUCAUCUAAAAGGAAAGUCAAGUUUCUGUAUCCUGUAUCCCUUACCACUAAGAAAUCAGCACAAACACGAGUGGGUAUAUGGGUGUGUUUCUCUGACUUAUACAAACGACCUGAAAGGGUGACAACUUGAGUGACCAGUUUACUAGCAGAUGAAACUGUGUGCCUGAUUAAUCAAUGGCUCUGCCCAAUAGGAAGGUA
This 2112-nucleotide long non-coding RNA is filed under the name Sus scrofa (pig). RNAcentral's name for it is "lncRNA (ENSSSCG00065036780.1)". Lineage: Eukaryota; Metazoa; Chordata; Mammalia; Artiodactyla; Suidae. The record is from RNAcentral.